UCUUACGUAUACGUAAGCUCCCGAAGGGAGCUAGAGAGGAAACUCUUUUCGCGCGUUCUUUUCUCCCAUAGGUUUUGUACACAGCCAACAUGGCUGCCGGCGGACAAUUUGAAGGUUGAUUUUGGAGGGUCAAUGUUUAAUUCAUGAAAUGACGUCAAAUUACGCAAAAUACACUUCCAUGAUUGGCUAAGACGCUAAUGUUUUAUUCAUAUCUUAUGAAUUAAACACGUUUUUCCUUCCCACAAUUCCCCACGAGAUCUGUGCGAAGUGUUGUUCUUUUGGAUUGUGCGAAUUUCCAGUUUCUACAACGAAAUAGCUCGACUAAUCAUCUGUUUAUAGAAUUGAUGUUCGAAAUCGUGAUUUUUGAGUGAACUUCAUUGGAGCAGAAAAUCUUGGAGGGAACAUCAAUAAUAAUCUACUGACAUUCCAUGAGAAUAAAAAUCCAAUAGGACCAAGAUUUUAGCAGUUCACACCCAGUCAGAGGUACAAAAUUGAGAGCCAUGCAGAUCAGCAAGUGUGGGUUUCACUCUAAUGAGGAACAGGAUAUCUGAAUUGGAAAAUUCCAAGGUUUCCCACUGCCCAAGAUGUUUAAGUACUGGUAUCACAACAAGUACCAAGAUGGAAUAUAUAUGAAGGCCAAGCUAAUAAGUAGUUACUUCAAAUUAAUUUGAAUAGAUAUAUCAACAAAGCACUGAAUGUUCUUUAAACUGCACAUCUGUAGAAAAGAGUUCAGGUUCAUCAGCGGGCAAUGACAUUAAAGUAUACAAAAUUUCACUCAAAAUACAAGAAAGAAAUUUUUUUUUUCGAAGGGCAAAUGUAUCACCUUUUAUUAAUUAAAAUUUCUACUAGUUCUUAGAAGUUUUUGUGAAAUUAAAUAUAAUUUCCAGUUUAAAGGACUAUUGUAUACAAGACAAAAAUUUAUAUUUUGAAAUAAAAAUCAUGCGUAGAUAAAUGUUAAUACAGGUGAUCAGAGGAUUAAAAAAUAAUUUUAGUAUCACUCAUUCCAUAAACAAGUUAUUACUAUUGUAAUCUUGUCACUAUGACAAUUACCAUGGUAACAGGGCUGAGCAAAAAAUCAAGGUCUUUAUGGUAGCUGCAAUGGGCUUGGACAAAGUUACCAUAAUUGCAAGUCGUCAUAUAAUGGCUCAAUAAUUAUGUAGGGAUAUUAAAUUGCAUUUAUUGCUAUCUUACUCAAAGUUUUGAAAUGGGUUUCCUCUGCA
Molecule: long non-coding RNA, 1220 nt
Filed under: Lytechinus variegatus (green sea urchin)
Lineage: Eukaryota; Metazoa; Echinodermata; Echinoidea; Temnopleuroida; Toxopneustidae
Description: uncharacterized LOC121425849
Source: RNAcentral